This 88-nucleotide transfer RNA is filed under the name Lepisosteus oculatus (spotted gar). It matches the Rfam family "tRNA". From Rfam's summary of the family: Transfer RNA (tRNA) molecules are approximately 80 nucleotides in length. Their secondary structure includes four short double-helical elements and three loops (D, anti-codon, and T loops). Lineage: Eukaryota; Metazoa; Chordata; Actinopteri; Semionotiformes; Lepisosteidae. The record is from Rfam by way of RNAcentral.
CCUUCAAUAGCUCAGUUGGUGGAGCGGAGGACUGUAGUGGAAACAGCUAGGAAUCUUAAGGUCGCUGGUUCGAAUCCGGCUCAAAGGA